Molecule: ribosomal RNA, 482 nt
Filed under: uncultured bacterium
Lineage: Bacteria
Description: partial 16S ribosomal RNA
Rfam family: Bacterial small subunit ribosomal RNA
Source: RNAcentral
AUUGAACGCUGGCGGCAUGCCUUACACAUGCAAGUCGAACGGUAACAGGUCUUCGGAUGCUGACGAGUGGCGAACGGGUGAGUAAUACAUCGGAACGUGCCCGAUCCUGGGGGAUAACGGAGCGAAAGCUUUGCUAAUACCGCAUACGAUCUACGGAUGAAAGCAGGGGACCGCAAGGCCUUGCGCGGACGGAGCGGCCGAUGGCAGAUUAGGUAGUUGGUGGGAUAAAAGCUUACCAAGCCGACGAUCUGUAGCUGGUCUGAGAGGACGACCAGCCACACUGGGACUGAGACACGGCCCAGACUCCUACGGGAGGCAGCAGUGGGGAAUUUUGGACAAUGGGCGAAAGCCUGAUCCAGCCAUGCCGCGUGCAGGAUGAAGGCCUUCGGGUUGUAAACUGCUUUUGUACGGAACGAAAAGACUCUUUCUAAUAAAGAGGGUCCAUGACGGUACCGUAAGAAUAAGCACCGGCUAACUACGUG